GCGCGCGUGGCGGAAUUGGUAGACGCGCAUGAUUCAGGUUCAUGUGGGAGCAAUCCUGUGGAGGUUCGAGUCCUCUCGCGCGCACCA
Molecule: transfer RNA, 87 nt
Filed under: Verrucomicrobiota bacterium JB025
Lineage: Bacteria; Pseudomonadati; Verrucomicrobiota
Description: tRNA-Leu
Rfam family: tRNA
About the family: Transfer RNA (tRNA) molecules are approximately 80 nucleotides in length. Their secondary structure includes four short double-helical elements and three loops (D, anti-codon, and T loops).
Source: RNAcentral